RNAcentral lists this unclassified non-coding RNA (309 nucleotides) under uncultured fungus. RNAcentral's name for it is "sequence contains ITS1". The record is from RNAcentral. Lineage: Eukaryota; Fungi.
GUAUUUUAAUGUUUAAAGGCACAGAAGGCCAAUAAAAAGAAGACAUUCUUUUACAGGUAUUUUAUGAUGAGAAACAUAGAGCCUUGAAAGAACACAUAUGAAACAGCUGCGCAGUCAAAUUACUGCCGCAGCAGUCUCGGUCACCGAAGACUGGUUUGUCUUCGAGAGAUUGUUCUACUCAAGGGCCUACACAAGGUGCACUGGAGGAUUUUUAAAACGGAAUGGAUGUGCACAUGCUUUGACAAGCCAGCAACAACCCAUGCCAAGUUUUAUUCAAUAAUGAUCCUUCCGCAGGUUCACCUACGGAAA